CGAAAGCCUGACGGAGCAAGACCGCGUGAGGGAGGAAGGCUCUUGGGUUGUAAACCUCUUUUCUCAGGGAAGAAGCUCUGACGGUACCUGAGGAAUCAGCCUCGGCUAACUCCGUGCCAGCAGCCGCGGUAAUACGGAGGAGGCAAGCGUUAUCCGGAAUUAUUGGGCGUAAAGCGUCCGCAGGCGGCUUAUCAAGUCUGCUGUUAAAGGUCGGGGCUCAACUCCGGUUCGGCAGUGGAAACUGAGAAGCUAGAGUGCAGUAGGGGUAGAGGGAAUUCCCGGUGUAGCGGUGAAAUGCGUAGAGAUCGGGAAGAACAUCGGUGGCGAAAGCGCUCUACUGGACGGCAACUGACACUCAGGGACGAAAGCUAGGGGAGCG
This 379-nucleotide ribosomal RNA is filed under the name uncultured cyanobacterium. RNAcentral's name for it is "bacterial SSU rRNA". It matches the Rfam family "Bacterial small subunit ribosomal RNA", at positions 376 to 770 of the family's 1533-position model. The record is from RNAcentral. Lineage: Bacteria; Bacillati; Cyanobacteriota.